CGUGUAGGCGGUUAGCCAAGUCUGGUGUGAAAGCCCGGGGCUCAGCCCCGGAAGUGCAUCGGAAACUAGUUAGCUGGAGCGCGAUAGAGGAGGGUGGAAUUCCUGGUGUAGCGGUGAAAUGCGUAGAUAUCAGGAGGAACACCGGCGGCGAAGGCGGCCCUCUGGAUCGUUGCUGACGCUGAGACGCGAAAGCGUGGGGAGCAAACA
RNAcentral lists this ribosomal RNA (207 nucleotides) under uncultured bacterium. RNAcentral's name for it is "partial 16S ribosomal RNA". It matches the Rfam family "Bacterial small subunit ribosomal RNA", at positions 568 to 774 of the family's 1533-position model. The record is from RNAcentral.